RNAcentral lists this long non-coding RNA (599 nucleotides) under Rattus norvegicus (Norway rat). RNAcentral describes it as "long non-coding RNA NONRATT015679". The record is from RNAcentral. Lineage: Eukaryota; Metazoa; Chordata; Mammalia; Rodentia; Muridae.
ACAGUUCUGAAGAUUGACAUUUUGGGACUCAGAACACAGGUGGUAAAAUAAAGAUACCAUCAAGAACUGGACUCUAUUUAAAGUCUUCCAUCACUAAUUCAAAGUUCAGACUCACAGUCUACAUGCUCUGAGAAACUAGAAGCCAAGGAAUUAACCUGAAGUUCACCCAGAAGACCUGUCUGAAAUGUGGUGGUUUCAGCAAGGCCUUAGCUUCCUUCCGUCGGCCCUUGUAAUUUGGACAUUUGCUACCUUUAUAUUCUCAUAUAUCACUGCAAUAACACUCCACCAUGUUGACCCUGCAUUGCCUUACAUCAGCGACACUGGGACAAUGCCUCCUGAAAGGUGCCUCUUUGGAGUAAUGCUGAAUAUCGCUGCCGUUUUAGGCAUUGCUACUAUCUAUGUUCGUUACAAGCAAGUUCAUGCACUGAACCCUGAAGAGAACCUUAUCAUCAAAUUAAACAAGGCUGGCCUUGUACUUGGGAUACUGAGUUGUUUAGGACUUUCUCUUGUGGCAAAUUUCCAGGUUUGUCUUUUAACCCAGUGUGAGUAUUGGUCUGACAUGUUUGGAUAUCUGUAGUAAACGGAAAUCUGAGGUCCUC